RNAcentral lists this transfer RNA (73 nucleotides) under Alligator mississippiensis (American alligator). It matches the Rfam family "tRNA". Rfam says of the family: Transfer RNA (tRNA) molecules are approximately 80 nucleotides in length. Their secondary structure includes four short double-helical elements and three loops (D, anti-codon, and T loops). Further hydrogen bonds mediate the characteristic L-shaped molecular structure. tRNAs have two regions of fundamental functional importance: the anti-codon, which is responsible for specific mRNA codon recognition, and the 3' end, to which the tRNAs corresponding amino acid is attached (by aminoacyl-tRNA synthetases). tRNAs cope with the degeneracy of the genetic code in two manners: having more than one tRNA (with a specific anti-codon) for a particular amino acid; and 'wobble' base-pairing, i.e. permitting non-standard base-pairing at the 3rd anti-codon position. Lineage: Eukaryota; Metazoa; Chordata; Crocodylia; Alligatoridae. The record is from Rfam by way of RNAcentral.
GACCACAGGGCCUAGUGAAUAAGGCAUCUGACUUCGGAUCAGGAGAAUGAGGGGUCACGUCCCUCUGUGGUUG